UACGUAGGCAGCAAGCGUUGUUCGGAGUUACUGGGCGUAAAGGGUGCGUAGGCGGCCUUAUAAGUAUGGUGUGAAAUCUCCCCGGCUUAACUGGGAGGGUGCGCUAUAGACUGUGGGGGCUAGAGUGUGGGAGAGGAAAGUGGAAUUCCUGGUGUAGCGGUGAAAUGCGUAGAUAUCAGGAGGAACACCGGUGGUGUAAAACGGCUUCUGGACCAUAACUGACGCUGAGGCACGAAAAGCGUGGGUAGCAAACAGG
This 256-nucleotide ribosomal RNA is filed under the name uncultured bacterium. Its description in RNAcentral is "partial 16S ribosomal RNA". It matches the Rfam family "Bacterial small subunit ribosomal RNA", at positions 524 to 776 of the family's 1533-position model. The record is from RNAcentral.